CUUCACAAAAUGGUUCUGCAAUGGACUGCAAUGAUUCUGUGUAAGUUGUGUAAUGUUUGCCAUUGAUGUCUAUUCAUGGUUAUUCUAUUUAUUGCUAUUUCACUAAUUUUUUUCCUACAUAUGAAGUGCAAGUGGUAGUGGUAGUGCAACUGGAAGGGGAAGGGGAAGGGGAAUGGGAAGGGGAAGGGGAAGGGGAACACAACCUGCAGAUGGGAACAAUGAACCAAUGUGAGUUUCAUACAUGAAUUAUCUAAUUUACUUGUUAAUUUUCUCAUUUCAUUUGUAUUAUUUUUAUAAAGUGCAAGUGAAGCUGUGGGGGGAAGGGAAAGGGGAAGUGGCAGAGGAAGAGGAAGAGGAAGAGAUAGAGGUGCAGCACGGGGUGCCAAUGAUAUAAACACAAGUGCGGUUGGACAGAGAAGGGGAAGAGGAGGGACACCAGGGAGGCUAGCAAGUUUGUUAGGUUUAGAUGCUUAAAUAUGUGUUGUUUGACACCUAGACUAGUAAAAAACUCACUACUUCUAGGUUCUUUUGUUGGACAUGUCAUGCAGACUUGUGCUUUGGAUCCUUAUGCAAGUUGGUGUGCAAAACUGUAGGUUGGGAUCUCAGAUUGACAUCCUUGAUGUAUUACAAUGUUAUUUGGAGAUGCUUUUGUGAUGGUUGUUA
This is a long non-coding RNA of Panicum virgatum (switchgrass), 663 nucleotides long. RefSeq lists it as uncharacterized. The transcript has 2 exons. The record is from RefSeq and is a predicted model, not a curated record. Lineage: Eukaryota; Viridiplantae; Streptophyta; Magnoliopsida; Poales; Poaceae.